GCAAGUCGAGCGGUAGAGAGGUGCUUGCACCUCUUGAGAGCGGCGGACGGGUGAGUAAAGCCUAGGAAUCUGCCUGGUAGUGGGGGAUAACGCUCGGAAACGGACGCUAAUACCGCAUACGUCCUACGGGAGAAAGCAGGGGACCUUCGGGCCUUGCGCUAUCAGAUGAGCCUAGGUCGGAUUAGCUAGUUGGUGAGGUAAUGGCUCACCAAGGCGACGAUCCGUAACUGGUCUGAGAGGAUGAUCAGUCACACUGGAACUGAGACACGGUCCAGACUCCUACGGGAGGCAGCAGUGGGGAAUAUCGGACAAUGGGCGAAAGCCUGAUCCAGCCAUGCCGCGUGUGUGAAGAAGGUCUUCGGAUUGUAAAGCACUUUAAGUUGGGAGGAAGGGCAUUAACCUAAUACGUUAGUGUUUUGACGUUACCGACAGAAUAAGCACCGGCUAACUCUGUGCCAGCAGCCGCGGUAAUACAGAGGGUGCAAGCGUUAAUCGGAAUUACUGGGCGUAAAGCGCGCGUAGGUGGUUCGUUAAGUUGGAUGUGAAAUCCCCGGGCUCAACCUGGGAACUGCAUUCAAAACUGUCGAGCUAGAGUAUGGUAGAGGGUGGUGGAAUUUCCUGUGUAGCGGUGAAAUGCGUAGAUAUAGGAAGGAACACCAGUGGCGAAGGCGACCACCUGGACUGAUACUGACACUGAGGUGCGAAAGC
RNAcentral lists this ribosomal RNA (708 nucleotides) under uncultured bacterium. Its description in RNAcentral is "bacterial SSU rRNA". It matches the Rfam family "Bacterial small subunit ribosomal RNA", at positions 57 to 760 of the family's 1533-position model. The record is from RNAcentral.